Long non-coding RNA from Octopus sinensis (East Asian common octopus), 5476 nucleotides. RefSeq lists it as uncharacterized. The transcript is spliced from 2 exons. The record is from RefSeq and is a predicted model, not a curated record. Lineage: Eukaryota; Metazoa; Mollusca; Cephalopoda; Octopoda; Octopodidae.
AAUCAAUGAAGAUAUUUGACCAAUCUGUUUGAAAGGAUGCCAUAUGGAUUUUGAUUCUGCUGGGCAGCUUAUUUUGAAAGCGAAGAAAAGUAUAUUCCUUCCAGAGCAUCUCCUCAAAAACGAUGUUCUCUAUAGGCUGUUCCAGAAAUCAUUUCAUACCAUAUAAUAUAUUUUUUUUCUCGUUUACAACUUUAUUUUCUAAAGACAUGUGUCCUUUGAUAAAAUUUAUUUAAAUAUAUUAAAAUGUGAAAAUAAAUUACUUCAUCACAUUGUCUUAAACAAAAAUGUUUUAUUUUAAUAUAAAAUUAAUUUCACCCACUUAGUGAACUAUGAGCAUAUCACAUCUGUAAGCUUUCAUGAAAUGGUUAGGAAACCAUUUGCUUGAGCUACAAAUAAGGAUGAUAAAAUUGUUUGAUACAGUUUCUAGAUUUGAGUUUUUUCUAAUUUACUUCCUCCAUUUUUUAUUUUAUUUACCUUAAAUAUUAUUUCUUCAGAAUUAUCAAAUUUUGUAAAUAGGGAAAACACCUGAGAGAUUUAGGAUGCAGAAAAUGACAAGGAAUAGCAUUUACCUUUUCCAAGAUCACUAGCAAUGGAAAUGGUACAAAUAGCACCACAGUUACAUUUUCCCAUUUAUCAAAUCUCUCGUAUUCAGCUCUGCACCAUUUUCUACUUAUUUCUGGCACCUCUACACCUUUUCAUUGAAAGAGUUUUUCUGUAAUGCUUAUAUUUUUUCCCCCCCUUUUUUUUUUCUGAUGUUUGUUUGUCUUCCACUAAAUAAAGUAUUGUUCUUCACAAUACUUGUUCCUCUUUACUAGAGAUUAGUUUGGUGACCUUUCCAACUACAACAGCUGUUUUCACUCAACAAGGGACCAAAUUCUAUGCUGAUUGUAUGUUUGAUUGCACUCAAAUAGCCUGGCCCUGAGAGAGGUGUAUAGCUCAAAAGCUGAAGCUGACUUGUACAUUAAAAACUGUCUCCAUUUCAAUUCUAUAUUUUUAACAGAAUAUCUUUAGUAGAUCCUUAGCUAUUAUUCUUGUUACAUACAAAAUUCUUUGGAUUCCAAAUUAUGGUUCAAUUUCACCAAACUUUCCAGUUAAUGGUUAACUACUGCUUGGCUCAUUAUUAUUAUUAUUUAUUAGUUUUUUUUUUUAAUAAAAACAAUUAUGUUCAGUAUUUAAAUUGCUUCAAUUGAGCUUUUGUAAUAUUGAAAAAGUCUAACACUGAACUUUAUAGUCUUUGACUAGACAACUUGUUUUAAUAAAGAAUUUUAUUCUAUAAUGAAAAUGACAUUGCAAAUUGCAGUUUUUCCAUUUAUUUUAUUUCUUUUAUUUUUUUUCCGUUUAUGAUUUCUCUUUAGUAAUUAUAAGAGCCUGUUCUGUGAAAAGGGAAGUGUGUACGUUUGUAUAAUUCCAAAUUUAUUACUUAUUCUAUCCUGAUGAAAAUAAGAACGGUUUCUUUUGUCUGGUUAUCAAAACAGAAAUAUUACAUGGCUAUAUUAAGGUAAAACACCCUUAAAUUUAUCUGUUCAGGCUAUACUGCUUUUUUAAUGAUAAUCACAGAAAUAGAAUAGAUAUUAGAGAAUCCUUUUUUUUUUCUGGAACAUACUUCUUGGAAGAACUCUGUCAUAGGGAAAAUUCUUCAUUCUUAAGAAUUUUUUGUCAACCAUUGUUUUUUUUUCACAAGUUGCUUUUUGAAAUGUUACUCAAAUUUUAAAUUAUAUUGUCUGUAAUAAAGAUGAGGAUAAAGAUAUCAAUUUAAAAUAUUGAAAGUUAGUGGUGUUUUAGAGGAAUUAGUUCUAGAAAAGGACCAGGCUGUGUUGAAUGUGUAGAAAGGUGAAAUAAGAGGAGCAGAGAUUGUUGUAGAAGACAGGAAGGACACAGCAGUUCGGGAGUAUAAAGGAAUGAAGGUUAACUUUACAGCUUUUAAAUAUUGGUUUCCAGUUUUGGCACAAGGCCAGCAAUUUCAGGUGUGGGAGUCGGGGGCUAGUCAAUUACAUUGACCCCAAUGCUCAACUGGGACUUAUUUUAUCAACCAUGAAAGGAAACGCCAACCUUGGUCGAAUUUGAGCUCAGAACAUAAUGACUGAUGGAAUGCUACUAAGCAUUUUGCCUGGCGUGGAACCGAUUCUACCAGCUCACCACCAGAUACAGCUUUUAGAUAUGACCAAGAAUAUAUAUAUAUGUGUGUGUGAUUGGUGAACUGUUUCAUGUGUGAAAGGCAUAAUGUCUGGAAAGGGUUAGUAGCUGUUAAGGACUGAAGUAUUUUCUGGUUCUGGAAAGGAAAUCCUGCUUUUGUGAUGGAAUCUUCAUUAGGUAAAAAAACAUUAGGCUACCAGAAUAAUUGAACUGAUUAUUACAGUUAAUUUGUAUUUACUCUGUUGUUGACCUUAAGUUCAUUCCUAUACUCUCAGAACACAAUCUUGAGUCUGUUUAUGUAUAGAAUCCAAUUUAAAUUUUCAUAUACUUAAGAAAAAAUUUUACAUGAGUGCUUCUACAGUUGGUAUCAUUAUAUUAAUGUGUGUGUGUGGUUCCAAUUUUAUAUAUAUAUAUAUAUAUAUAUAUAUAUAUAUAUAUAUUGGAGCAUGGUGCAGCCUCCUGGCUUCCCAGACCCCGAUCGAACUGUCCAACCCAUGCUAGCAUAAAACAACGGACGUUAAACAAUGAUGAUGAUAUUUAUAUAUAAACUAAUGCAAAGAUCGAACAAUUAAUGAUAUCUCGGUCAAGAGGGGUCCUUUCCCUUGAUGCUUCUUGUGGAAUUGGUAAAGAAUUUUUGCUCAACCUAAUUUGGACCAAAGUUUAAUCUCUCAAAUAUUAUUGCAGAGUCCUCAUUUGGAGUUUUAUCAGCUUUGUUCACAGGUGGCAGCACUUAUGUCAUUCUGUCUUUUUAAGCUGCCACUCAACCUACAGUGACAGUCUUGUGUGCAAUGUUAACAAUUUAGAGGUUUCGAAGCAGUCCAAACUGAAAGUAUCAGGCGACUGCACAAUGUCUCAAAGACUGCAUUGGCAGCUCCCUAUCACAACCUACAACUCAGCUGAAGUCAGUUUUUUUCUCUGGUGAUUUCAGGCAAACUCUGCCAAUCAUUCUAAAGGAUACUCAGGCUGAUGAGUUUGAGAGAAGGCCUCAAAUAUUUCUUUCUUCCAAUUAGAGAAUCACACUUAAUAGCACUUUCUUGUAAGGAAUGGACGUGUCUAAAUAUUAAAAAAAAAUGUAGAGUAAUGAACACAUCUCAAGAAAUGCUUCUGAGUUUAUCCCCAUUCAGCCAUCUGUUGCAUCUCCUUACAAUCUGCAACUAAAAGUAGGAGUACCUACGAAGUUUGGAUGCAUCAAAACCCUGUAAUAGCAAAAGGCUGCAAAGUUCUUAUGCCUCGUGAGAUUGAAGCCAUCAUUAUGAGUGGUUGUGCCAAGGGAGAUCCUUAUUCCUUCAGAUGUGCUCUCUCCGUUCAAGUGCCUUCAGUGUUCUGUGAUAUAUGAAUGUGUGUGUGUGUGCACAAAUCCUCAUAGACAUGCAUAUUUGUAUGUAGACACAUUUAUACACAAUGAAUGAAUGUGUAUGUAUGUAUAUGUGCAUUAAUUCAGACAUGCAGUCAACAUGUAUAGGAUGCACUGAUAUAAUAAAAUGAAAUCCUUUCUAUUCCCAUUUACAAAUACUAAUCACUUCUAUGCCUUGCCAACUGAGUUGGAUAAAAAUUCACUGAGGAGAUUUGAUACAAAUGAAUCAUGUCUUGCUUUUUUAAACACAAGGUCCACUCUGAUCUAUCAUUUUCAUUUUCCAUUAAAUUAGUUCAUAUUAUUGGAUUUAUCUCCCUUGCUUGUGUUGAUUUUUUUUUCUUUUAAGUUUUUGAAUGCCUCUUUAGGAAACUUUGUUUACUAAUUGCAUGGAUAAUUUCAGUUAACCAAAGCUUUCCAACUCUGAGACUCAACAACAUAUGUCAAUUAUACGAUACUAAUAAAGUCGUUGUCCCCUGACAAAGCUAACGGAAAGAGCAUUCUGAUGAGACAGUGAAAGCAGAAUGCGUCUUGGUACCAUGGUACCGUGGCUGAUUACAAACUACCUGUAAUUUUAUGCAAACAGUGACUAAUGUAUGUCACCUGUUUUACCGUUCUUUCUCUACUUUUGGGUGAUUUUGCAUAGAUUCUCUUAAACGCCCAGGUGGCUCACCACAAGUAGUUGAUAGUUUCUGUUACCUAGAAGACAUAGUUAGGGUGGGACGGGGAGAUGGUUACUUGGAAAGUGUAGUAGCCGGGUUACGAACAGGUUGGAAAAAGUUCAGGGAGCUACUACCAUUGCUGACUAGGGUGUAACUGGGUGUUGGCAGGGUCCACCUCAGAUGGCAUUUUUGGGUCUGCUGUAUAAACAUAUGUACAUACAUGCAUACAUACGUAUGUAUAGCAGGAAUAUUUGGGAGAGGGAAGCGGCAAACUCAGAGACUGCCCUGGCAGCACACACUCUAGUUACAUCACUGUGGUGGCACCAAGUUUUUCUCUCAGAAUGAAAGUGGUGUGCUAGAACUGCGAUGCUGCGUGGUAACUUGACAUGAGUCUUGCAAUCAGAAAAUUUGUGGAAACUUGAAAAAAAUGAAGCUGUCUUGCUCUGAUGGAUGUGGUAUGUCAGUGUACUUGGUUGCCAGAAUAGAAAUGAGCCAAGAGGAGAAAUGGAUAUAAGUGGAAUCAGGUGUAGUGUGCAGAAGAUGAGAGACUAUGUUGAUACAAGCAUGAGAUGUGUUUGAAGAUGACUGUUGCAGUCUGUGGAAGAGGAGGGCCAAAGAAAACUUAGGACCAAAAUGGUGAAAGCUGAUCUGAAGACAAAAGACUCUACAGAUUGCCAGUACGUGAUGUUAUAGAAUACUUGUCCACCCAAGAAAAAGAAAAACACAAGGGGAGCAAUUAAAAAGCUGUGACACAGACAUAUAUACAUACGGCAAGAAUGUUUGAUAGAGUCCUAAACACCAACUCAUUGACUAGAAAUCAAACCUGAAUCACUGUUCAGAAGAAAAAAAAUGAUAAAUAACAGAAUUCUGUCAUGGAUUGAUAACAUCAACAAAAAGCUGACCACUCAAAUCUCAAGUAGAACCCUCAUGAACAUGCUUUUAAUCAAUAGCUGAAGUGACCAACAAAAUACAAUAAAUCCAACAGAUGUUUUACCCUUUGAAUCCUUAUGUUGUAUACAAUCAUAAUUUUGGACAAAUGACAUACUGAAAUGUCAUUAACAAUUUUGUCUUUGGCUCCUUUUCGUUGAAAGACAUUAUGCAUAGUUUGUUUAUCUGCUAAUUUUCCAGUGACCAUAAAGCAGCCAAGAAAUUUAUGACACUACAGAAAUUUAUGGCACUCGACAACAACCACAGAAUGAAUUCAGUCCACUCAUGGCUGCUGACAAACACAAAUUGAUUCACUUGUCUUAAAUAUUUUCUUUUCUGUCAUUCACCAUAACAACACAUUAUUUUGUUUAUGAUUAAUAAAUAUUUUGUAUUUGGAACUUCA